CGUAAUAGCUCACUGGUCGCGUCGGCCUGCGCGGAAGCUGUAACGGGGCUAAACCAUGCACCGAAGCUGCGGCAGCGACACUAUGUGUUGUUGGGUAGGGGAGCGUUCUGUAAGCCUGUGAAGGUGUACUGUGAGGUAUGCUGGAGGUAUCAGAAGUGCGAAUGCUGACAUAAGUAACGAUUGUUGUUGGGUCGGGGAGCGUUCUGUAAGGAC
This 213-nucleotide ribosomal RNA is filed under the name Escherichia coli. Its description in RNAcentral is "partial 23S ribosomal RNA". It matches the Rfam family "Bacterial large subunit ribosomal RNA", at positions 1133 to 1346 of the family's 2925-position model. The record is from RNAcentral. Lineage: Bacteria; Pseudomonadati; Pseudomonadota; Gammaproteobacteria; Enterobacterales; Enterobacteriaceae.